This is a long non-coding RNA of Esox lucius (northern pike), 1495 nucleotides long. The record is from Ensembl. NCBI's taxonomy places the organism in Eukaryota, Metazoa, Chordata, Actinopteri, Esociformes, Esocidae.
UGACAAGUGAGGUGAAGUCAGGAGUAAUUUCUGUUGAAGCAGUGAGCGGUUCUGUUGAAGGAUUGUGCGGUUCUGUUGAAGAAGUGUGCGGUACUGUUUAAGAAGUGUGCGGUACUGCUGCAAGAUGUUCAUCAGUGAGGCUGCAUCUGCGCUUGGACUUGUUGAAUUGUAGCAUCAGUCCGCAGGGAUGGACCGAUCUCUGUUCCUCCUGCUGCUAUUCACAGGGCUCCCCUCAUGCCUCUCCGUCCAGAUUUACUUUAUAGCUGAACCAGGGACCUGGGGUUGAUGCUCAGAGUAACUGCAUACAGAACCACACUGACCUGGCAACAACAGAGAACAUGACGGAAAUUGACAUGUUUAAUACCGUAACUGAACACUGGAAUGAUACAACCUGGUUAGAGCUGUAUAAGAGCCCCUGGAGGUGGUCACUUGACAGAACAGAGUUAAAAGGGGAGAAGUGUUGGGACAGUAAGCCACAACAACCAGAUAAUCAGAAUCAUAUGGAGUUUUGUGUGUCUAUUAAAGAUGGGAUGUGGAAUGAUGAAGAAUGUGACAAAACACAUUAUUUUGUAUGCUAUGAUGAACACAAUCACACCAGUAAAUACAUCUACAUCGACUAUCAAGGCAAUUGGAAUUUCUCUCAGAACUACUGUAAACUACACAGACCUGGCCAGUGUGAGGAACUCAACAGAGUGGGAGAAAGUGAACAACAUCUCUCUCUCAUCUAAUGAUGAGUUGGUCUUGGUCCAGCAGAACAAGACAUGGUCAGAAGCCUUGUGGUUCUGUAGAAACCAGAGGAUACCUGCACAUUGAACUUCUGGUUCUGGGUCAGUGGAAAUUAUUCCUGCUACCAGAACUGGGCUGAAGGGCAGGACCAUAAUUCUUCUUCUUAUUCUUCUUAUUCUUCCUCUUAAAAUGUGGAUAAUUCCACUGACAACGAGAUCAGCGCCACCCAGUGGGCAGCUCUAUUGUAGGACUGGUGUCUGCCAGCACAGUCGUGUUUGUUGGAAGAGACUCUCCUGCAGCAUAUGUGCCAGCGGAUGCUCAGUGACAAGACAGUAGAGUAUGUAUGAAGCAGAACGACUUUGUCUCGAUCUUUGAACCUCCUAAAUCCAUGGUGGUGUCGCUGUCAUGAGGCAAGACGUUAAUCGAAAAUUAGACACAGCUUAAAAUGGGAGGACAGAAAGGUGUGUUAUUCUCUUCUAGUUUGUCUCUGAUAUUAUAUCUGUUCUCUAAUCCAGGAUACUAGGAACAGACCCAGCUCUCUGGACCAACUAAAAACUCCAACCAUAAUCCCUGUUCCUGACCUGGCUCUCUUGACCAACUAAAUCCUGUACCCCAACAUAUUGAUUCCAGGCAUUGCGCUGAUUUACAUUAUUCAAGGUGAUAGAUCAAGUCUUACAAUGCCCACUCACCUUGAAUAAUGUAAAUCAGCGCAAUUUUAUAUUCUAGAUAUUAAUUUAAAUCAUUUGUAUGUCUUUAUAUUAUAUUUUAU